Molecule: ribosomal RNA, 492 nt
Filed under: uncultured bacterium
Lineage: Bacteria
Description: partial 16S ribosomal RNA
Rfam family: Bacterial small subunit ribosomal RNA
Source: RNAcentral
GAUGAACGCUAGCUACAGGCUUAACACAUGCAAGUCGAGGGGAAACGGCAUUAAGUGCUUGCACUUUUUGGACGUCGACCGGCGCACGGGUGAGUAACGCGUAUCCAACCUUCCCAUGACUAAGGGAUAACCUGCCGAAAGGCAGACUAAUACCUUAUGGUCUUCACUGACGGCAUCAGAUGUGAAGUAAAGAUUUAUCGGUUAUGGAUGGGGAUGCGUCUGAUUAGCUUGUUGGCGGGGUAACGGCCCACCAAGGCAACGAUCAGUAGGGGUUCUGAGAGGAAGGUCCCCCACAUGGGAACUGAGACACGGUCCAAACUCCUACGGGAGGCAGCAGUGAGGAAUAUUGGUCAAUGGGCGAGAGCCUGAACCAGCCAAGUAGCGUGCAGGAUGACGGCCCUAUGGGUUGUAAACUGCUUUUGUAUGGGGAUAAAGUCAAUCACGUGUGAUUGUUUGCAGGUACCAUACGAAUAAGGACCGGCUAAUUCCGUG